UUUAUGUUAGGUUAAUACUGCUCAAUGAACUGUUUUAAAUGGCCGCAGUAAACUGACUGUGCUAAGGUAGCAUAAUAAAUUGGCCUUUAAUUGGGGUCUGGUAUGAACGGAAUAAUAUGUGAUAUCUGUCUUAUUUGUAUUAUUUUAAACUUACUUAGAAGGUGAAAAUUCCUUUAAGCGAUACCGAAGGACGAUAAGACCCUUAGAAUUAUUAAAAGUUGUUUAUCCUUAAUUAAUCAUACUUUUUUGUUGGGGCGACAUAUUACCAUUUAACAUAAUAUAUUUACUAAAUAACAAGACUAAUUUACUUAGUAAGAUUUAAUUACCUGAGGGAUAACAGCAUAAUAUUAUUAUAUGUUUAUGACCUCGAUGUUGGACUAGGUAAGUUAUUAACUAACAGUUAUUAACUAAUGUUCUGUUC
Molecule: ribosomal RNA, 421 nt
Filed under: Anguispira mordax
Lineage: Eukaryota; Metazoa; Mollusca; Gastropoda; Stylommatophora; Discidae
Description: partial large subunit ribosomal RNA
Source: RNAcentral